AUGCUCGCUUCGGCAGCACAUAUACUAAAAUUGGAAUGAUGAGAAGAUUAGCAUGGCCCCUGCACAAGGAUGGCAUGAAAAUUCAUGAAGUGUUCGAUAUUUUU
Molecule: small nuclear RNA, 104 nt
Organism: Apodemus sylvaticus (European woodmouse)
Lineage: Eukaryota; Metazoa; Chordata; Mammalia; Rodentia; Muridae
Source: RefSeq, a predicted model, not a curated record